UGGCGGACGGGUGAGUAAUGUCUGGGAAACUGCCCGAUGGAGGGGGAUAACUACUGGAAACGGUAGCUAAUACCGCAUAAUGUCUGCGGACCAAAGCGGGGGACCUCCGGGCCUCGCGCCAUCAGAUGAACCCAUAUGGGAUUAGCUUGUAGGUAAGGUAACGGCUUACCUAGGCGACGAUCCCUAGCUGGUCUGAGAGGAUGAUCGGCCACACUGGGACUGAGACACGGCCCAG
This 235-nucleotide ribosomal RNA is filed under the name uncultured bacterium. RNAcentral describes it as "partial 16S ribosomal RNA". It matches the Rfam family "Bacterial small subunit ribosomal RNA", at positions 96 to 334 of the family's 1533-position model. The record is from RNAcentral.